GCGGCGAGCGAACCGGGAAGAGCUCAAAUUUGAAAGCUGGCAGCUUGCAGUUGUCCGCAUUGUAAUCUAUAGAGGCAUUUUCCGUGCUGGACCGUGACCAAGUCCCUUGGAACAGGGUAUCAAAGAGGGUGAUAAUCCCGUACUUGUCACGACAACCAGUGCUCUGUGAUAUGUCUUCUACGAGUCGAGUUGUUUGGGAAUGCAGCUCAAAAUGGGUGGUAAAUUCCAUCUAAGGCUAAAUAUUGGCGAGAGACCGAUAGCGAACAAGUACCGUGAGGGAAAGAUGAAAAGCACUUUGGAAAGAGAGUUAAACAGUAUGUGAAAUUGUUGAAAGGGAAACGAUUGAGGUCAGUCGUGACUGCAGGAUUCAGCUGUCUCUGGCAGUGUAUUUCCUGUAGUCGGGUCAACAUCAGUUUUGAUCGGUGGAUAAGGGCAGUUGGAAUGUAGCACCUCCGGGUGUGUUAUAGCCUUCUGUCGCAUACACUGGUUGAGACUGAGGAAUGCAGCUCGCCUUGAUGGCCGGGGUUCGCCCACGUUCGAGCUUAGGAUGUUGACAUAAUGGCCUUAAACGACCCGUCUUGAAACACGGACC
Molecule: ribosomal RNA, 592 nt
Filed under: Saitozyma sp.
Lineage: Eukaryota; Fungi; Basidiomycota; Tremellomycetes; Tremellales; Trimorphomycetaceae
Description: LSU rRNA
Rfam family: Eukaryotic large subunit ribosomal RNA
Source: RNAcentral